RNAcentral lists this ribosomal RNA (446 nucleotides) under uncultured bacterium. RNAcentral's name for it is "partial 16S ribosomal RNA". It matches the Rfam family "Bacterial small subunit ribosomal RNA", at positions 29 to 523 of the family's 1533-position model. The record is from RNAcentral.
AACGAACGCUGGCGGCAGGCUUAACACAUGCAAGUCGAGCGCCCCGCAAGGGGAGCGGCAGACGGGUGAGUAACGCGUGGGAAUCUACCCAUCCCUACGGAAUAUCUCCGGGAAACUGGAAUUAAUACCGUAUACGCCCUACGGGGAAAGGUUUUUCGGGGAUGGGUGAGCCCGGGUUGGAUUAGCUAGUUUGUGGGGUAAAAGCCUACCAAGGCGACGAUCCAUAGCUGGUCUGAGAGGAUGAUCAGCCACAUUGGGACUUGGAAACGGCCCAAACUGCUACGGGAGGCAGCAGUGGGGAAUAUUGGACAAUGGGGGCAACCCUGAUCCAGCCAUGCCGCGUGAGUGAUGAAGGCCUUAGGGUUGUAAAGCUCUUUCACCGGGGAAGAUAAUGACGGUACCCGGAGAAGAAGCCCCGGCUAACUUCGUGCCAGCCGCCGCAGUAA